CAGGUAACAUCCUAUACAGUAUCUUUAAUAGUCCUGUCUUUAUUUAGACUCCGAUUAGCGUAAUUUGAGUUUCAAAUCUUCAUUUUGAUGUGGAUAUAGACCGCCUAUAAUUAAAUUGGCUAUAUUACAUUAUUUUUUUAAUCGCGACAGAUUUAAUCAUGUACGGAUCCCGCAGAACUUCAUUCAUCGUCAUUCUUUUAAGUGGCUCCCUUUUCGCCUUAUUUUAUACUGGCGUGGAUUUUUGGAGUAAAACUUCACUACCGAUAAUGAGACUCUCAAAUUGCAACCGUGUUCCAGAGAUCCCAGACUUUCCCAAACCAAAUAUCGGGCCUUUUCGCAAUGAGAAUCCAACACCCUGUACCUGCCAAAACACUAAUCCAGCAAACGAUUUUGUGUCAGAAGACGAGAUGGAUGACCUGCAGAAACGCCGGGCAGAAGAGUUCAGACAACACCAGAUCAGGUUACCCACAAUUCCUCAGAUCUCUUUAGUGUGGCACACACUUAUUCCUCUGACUGAAUGAACUGUCUUUCAGAUCAGGUAAAGAAAAUGAUGUUCUACUACUCGUCCCGGCCAACACCCCGCUCCAGUAUCCGAUGAG
Molecule: long non-coding RNA, 599 nt
Organism: Carassius carassius (crucian carp)
Lineage: Eukaryota; Metazoa; Chordata; Actinopteri; Cypriniformes; Cyprinidae
Exons: 3
Source: RefSeq, a predicted model, not a curated record